UUUGGAUCACAGGAAAGCUUUCUUUCAUGGGGUGGGGGUAAAGCGAUAGACUAAGUGUGGUUUGGAUACCUUCAACCCUUGUCGAAGCAGAAAACAUCAUUUUGUGUACUACUAUUUUGGAUACUUCACGUGUUUGGUUGGGUUUUGAAAACCAAUUAUUUUGCUGGAUGACUUGAUCUGUAAUUCAUGAUGGCGAAGGUAAUGGUUCUUACCGCCAAAGGUGUAAUCAUGCUCUUGUCACGUUAAUGCUAGAUAAUAGAUUCAAAGUUAUGGGUCUAUUUCUGUUCUUAGACUUAAAAGCAAAUAUUCAGAAGUCUUCGGAAAACAUGAGAUGAUAUGUCCAUUAUAAUUGAUACACCAGUAUCCUGUGGAUCUUGCUAAUGGCUCUAAUUGACAGGACCCUCGUGCAUUUUUUGGGAGUGGCAAUUCUCUAAGGCAUGGAGGAGCUUGAAACAUGAGAUGAUAAGUCCAAGUUGUCAAAUUUUGAUUAGAAUCUAUUCGAGUACUUGAAUUAUAUUUGUUUAAAAUCAAAUGCUCUGUAAUUUGAUUAAAUAUAUACCUUUGGCGCUUUUUCUAAUUGUAGCCUUUAUUUUGAUAAUUUUAAUAUUAAGGGGACGUUUGCUAUAAGUUAACAAUGAGAG
Molecule: unclassified non-coding RNA, 641 nt
Filed under: Hevea brasiliensis (rubber tree)
Lineage: Eukaryota; Viridiplantae; Streptophyta; Magnoliopsida; Malpighiales; Euphorbiaceae
Source: RNAcentral